RNAcentral lists this ribosomal RNA (253 nucleotides) under uncultured bacterium. Its description in RNAcentral is "partial 16S ribosomal RNA". It matches the Rfam family "Bacterial small subunit ribosomal RNA", at positions 524 to 776 of the family's 1533-position model. The record is from RNAcentral.
UACGUAGGGUGCAAGCGUUGUCCGGAAUUAUUGGGCGUAAAGGGCUCGUAGGCGGUUUGUCGCGUCGGGAGUGAAAACUCAGGGCUUAACCCUGAGCCUGCUUCCGAUACGGGCAGACUAGAGGUAUGCAGGGGAGAACGGAAUUCCUGGUGUAGCGGUGGAAUGCGCAGAUAUCAGGAGGAACACCGAUGGCGAAGGCAGGUCACUGGGCCGCAACUGACGCUGAGGAGCGAAAGCAUGGGGAGCGAACAGG